UACGUAGGGUGCAAGCGUUGUCCGGAAUUAUUGGGCGUAAAGAGCUCGUAGGCGGUUUGUCGCGUCUGCUGUGAAAUCUGGGGGCUCAACCCCCAGCCUGCAGUGGGGUACGGGCAGACUAGAGUGCGGUAGGGGAGAUUGGAAUUCCUGGUGUAGCGGUGGAAUGCGCAGAUAUCAGGAGGAACACCGAUGGCGAGGGCAGAUCUCUGGGCCGUAACUGACGCUGAGGAGCGAAAGCGUGGGGAGCGAACAGG
Molecule: ribosomal RNA, 254 nt
Filed under: uncultured bacterium
Lineage: Bacteria
Description: partial 16S ribosomal RNA
Rfam family: Bacterial small subunit ribosomal RNA
Source: RNAcentral